RNAcentral lists this unclassified non-coding RNA (79 nucleotides) under Flavobacterium frigidimaris. Its description in RNAcentral is "Flavo-1 RNA". Lineage: Bacteria; Pseudomonadati; Bacteroidota; Flavobacteriia; Flavobacteriales; Flavobacteriaceae. The record is from RNAcentral.
GUUUUGCGUGAGGGAUAGAGGCGGUAUCCUUUUAUAAAGCGUAGCGGAAUAAAAGAUUUAGCCGAAAGCCCAGUUCGCU